This 253-nucleotide ribosomal RNA is filed under the name uncultured bacterium. RNAcentral's name for it is "partial 16S ribosomal RNA". It matches the Rfam family "Bacterial small subunit ribosomal RNA", at positions 524 to 776 of the family's 1533-position model. The record is from RNAcentral.
UACGGAGGGUGCGAGCGUUGUCCGGAAUCACUGGGCGUAAAGGGCGCGUAGGCGGCGUCGGUAGUCCGUGGUGAAAGCUCGUGGCUCAACUGCGAGUCGGCCAUGGAUACUCCGAUGCUUGAGCACUGUAGAGGCAGGUGGAAUUCCGGGUGUAGCGGUGGAAUGCGUAGAGAUCCGGAAGAACACCGGUGGCGAAGGCAGGUCUCUGGGCUGACACUGACGCUCAUGCACGAAAGCGUGGGGAGCAAACAGG